Molecule: ribosomal RNA, 483 nt
Filed under: Triticum aestivum (bread wheat)
Lineage: Eukaryota; Viridiplantae; Streptophyta; Magnoliopsida; Poales; Poaceae
Description: partial small subunit ribosomal RNA
Source: RNAcentral
AUGCGCCAUAUGGGAGAUCCUUCUCGCCGGACUUCAGGAGAAGGCGGUCCCUCGGCGACGGGUUUGAGAGCUAGCGUGGGUUUUGCCAGACCAUUCAUGCUACCCAGAUGGGAUUGUCGCUCAAUAUCGGCAUGUAUCAUGUAUGCAGCAGACGAGGAUGAUGAUGACGCCGAGGAGGAUGAGGACCUGAGCUCGAGCCUGACCACGAUGGCGCAUAUCACAAGGUCCCUACUGCCUGCCAGUAAUUACUCCCUGCAGGUUUCACAUCAUUCUCAGGAGAAGCGGUGGGUGUUUUUUGACUUUGGCGUUCGGAAAGCACUUGGGAGGGGCCAGUUCGGCAUGUUUACUUGGCCAGAGAAAAGAGGAUUGUUGACAACAACAAACUUUCUGAACAGAACAAUGAGAGUCCCGAACAAUGGGAGAAUGGAGCUUCCCGUCUAUGAACUAAUCGAUCGACUAUAUCGUAUCGAGCUCAAAGGAUAA